Molecule: ribosomal RNA, 207 nt
Filed under: uncultured bacterium
Lineage: Bacteria
Description: partial 16S ribosomal RNA
Rfam family: Bacterial small subunit ribosomal RNA
Source: RNAcentral
CGCGUAGGCGGGAUGGCAAGUCAGUCGUGAAAUCUCUCGGCUCAACCGAGAAACGUCGGCUGAUACUGCCGUUCUUGAGGGAUGCAGAGGAGACUGGAAUUCCCGGUGUAGCGGUGAAAUGUGUAGAGAUCGGGAGGAACACCGGUGGCGAAGGCGGGUCUCUGGGCAUCUCCUGACGCUGAGGCGCGAAAGCGUGGGGAGCAAACG